UAACAUACAUGGGAUGGGGAGAAGUCAUUUCUUUGAAGAUACUUAAAAUAUGCAAUGCAUAGAGCAGAAUACCCAUUAGCAUUACAUAUUUCUGCCACUUUCUCCCCCAAAUGAACCAUUUUUUUCUUCCUUUGCUUGCGACUCUUAAAUUGAUUACUGCCUCGAUAAAAUAAAUUAAUGCCAAUGUCCAAGGUUGGAUACCUUGCACUCCUAAGCAAAACAUAUCUUGCACUCCUAAGCAAAACAUAUCUACUGAAGUCACAAGUUUAUUGGUGUGUGUGUGUUCAUCAGACUGUGCAAGGAACAUUCAAUUUCUCCUCUGUGUGGCACAAAUGCAAACAGGAAUAAGAGAAAAUGAAGGCCAGAGGAAGACUGAAAGACAUUAAUUAGUGUCUUAAGCUCACAGAUAUUAAAUAGCAUUACAAGUGCAAGACAGAUUCAAAAGGAGCAAGCUUUUCACAGGACAACUGCAACCUAUGCGGGAUUAUGCAUUGAGCAGGAACUUCAGCGCUGAAUCUGCUGAUCUAAUCCUGACCUGCUGAUCACUGGAUAUCUGCUUGGAUCUUGAAUAUAUUCAGCCACCCUCUGCCAGAUCAGGGUGCACCGCUAUCUGGAUUUGGGACUGCAGCAGUUAGCCCGUGAGCUGAUCUACAUAUGCAGAGGUCUCAAGAGGAAGUCCGUUUCCUGAUGUGCCUGGAAUUGUCAGUAAUACUCAUUAGGAAAUGGGAAGGAAGGUGCUGUCCUCUGAAGAUGCUGGCCACAGAGAAUGGCGAAACGUUAGGAAGAAAAACCUUCAGAACACGGCCAAAGAGCCUGAAAAACCCACAACAACCAAGGUGAAACUGAUUGAAACAAUGUACUUAAUUGGGUUGAUGCACAAUAAGCAUGCAUAAAAUUGCAUUCUGCAUCCUAAUGGAGAUUUAUAGGAGGUUUUGAUAUAGCUCAAGGCUCUCCCUAACUUGGUAUGUUUCUGAGGUCUUGGACUACCACCCUGACAUUCUGCUGUUUCCCCAUUUGCUUACCGUAUUCUCUCCUAGGUGGGGCAUCCUGCUAUUUCAAAGCCGCCCAGUUGACCCAGUAGAACACACACACCACUGAUAUGACAGCUGUUGUGGUUGCUUCUUCUCCCUCUGCAUUUUCUUUCUUAAUUGGAAGAUGACUUUGAGGAACAGAAUACCUAGAAUUUGUGGCAACACAGAAUUAUUAGAACUAUUUGUUGAGUCAUGUCAUGCCUUCCAGAUUAUUUAAACUCUUGUUUUAAUAAUUAAGGAAGGAUAGAAAGAAAGUAUCCAUGCUAUUUGUGUAUCCGUGGAUUUAUCUUAUCAUUUGGAUUUAUAUUCUGCUUUUCACCCAACAACAGGACUUAAGGAACCUUACAGUAAUAUUGAAUAAAAAGUUGAGUUAAAACUUCA
Molecule: long non-coding RNA, 1412 nt
Filed under: Pogona vitticeps (central bearded dragon)
Lineage: Eukaryota; Metazoa; Chordata; Lepidosauria; Squamata; Agamidae
Description: lncRNA (ENSPVIG00000007005.1)
Source: RNAcentral